GGAGGAAGAGCAGGAAGAAAAGAUUAACAUUAAACAGAUACAUGAGGUGGGAUGGAAAGGGAGAGAAAAGGGAAAUUGCAUGGUAAUGGAGGGAGACCCUCCAUUACCAUGCAAUUUCCCUUUUCUCUCCCUUUCCAUCCCACCUCAUGUAUCUGUUUAAUGUUAAUCUUUUCUUCCUGCUCUUCCUCCC
Molecule: small nucleolar RNA, 190 nt
Filed under: Marmota monax (woodchuck)
Lineage: Eukaryota; Metazoa; Chordata; Mammalia; Rodentia; Sciuridae
Source: RNAcentral